Camellia sinensis is the source of this 2853-nucleotide non-coding RNA. NCBI's taxonomy places the organism in Eukaryota, Viridiplantae, Streptophyta, Magnoliopsida, Ericales, Theaceae. The record is from RefSeq and is a predicted model, not a curated record.
UUUAGACAAAACAGAUUGUCUGUUUGUCUCUCUCUCUCUAACCCAAACAAACCAAACAAAAUGGAGAAAUCAGAAGGAGAAGGGUGCUUGUUCAAAAUAGUGGUGAUUGGGGACUCAGCGGUGGGAAAAUUGAACUUGCUUUCACGAUUUGCGAGAGACGAGUUCGAUUUGCACUCAAAAGCCACAGUGGGAGUAGAGUUUCAGACCCAGGUGAUGGAGCUUGAUGGCAAGGAGAUCAAAGCCCAGGUCUGGGACACCGCCGGCUAAGAGUGCUUCCGCGCUGUCACCUCCGCCUACUACAGAGGCGCUGUUGGUGCUCUCAUCGUCUACGAUAUCACUCGUCGGACUACUUUCGAUAGCAUCAAGCGGUGGCUCAAUGAACUCAAGAGUGAGUCAAUUAUAUUUUAAUCAAUCUAUUUAUUAGUUGUUCUGUUUUGUGGGUUUGAUUGCUUGUUAUUGAAGUUGUUGCUGUAAAUCUGAAUUUGUGUUUGAAUAAACAUUUUGGCUGUUUUAAUGAUUUUGAAAUUGAAACCCCAAGUAGUGGAUUUUUCUGGAUUUUUCUGGUUUUUGGAGUUGACAUACACCCAGGUAUGGUUUUUCUUGAUUCUAUUUAUUGCCAAUUGUGUGCUGUUAGUUAUCUCAUUAGUCAAUUUAUUGAGAAGUAGACUGACUUCUUCUUAGAUGUCAGGCACAGUUUAAAAACAGCAAGAAAUUAUCUUUUAAAUUAUUGGGACAGAAUUCUUACAUUUUUAUUUUCUAGAAUUUUUUUCAUGGAACCAAUUGAAGAGAAGUUAGGCGUUACUUUGGUAAAACUUUGAUAGAUUAUAGAUUCAAGUGCAAAGAAAAUGAUUGUUUCUGCCACAAAUUAAGACUAAUGCACUUUACCUUUUUUUUUUUUUUUUUUCCCCCUUCAUUUGACUGUUUGUAUCUAUUUGAGAGUGUGAAAGGCUUCUUACUAAUAAGGCAUUGUGAGGGAAAAUUUACCCUAUUUUUUCUUCAUAUCUGGUAAUUGUGUACAGCUGCAAAAAUUGGAGAGGGAAUACUGUUAGAUCAUGGGACGGGUGUAGUUGUUGGCGAAACUACUGUUAUAAGGAAUAGAGUUUCACUGAUGCUGGUGAACUAGCUUUUUUCCUCCUUUCUUUCACCAUUUAUCUUAUAGAUGAGUCUGUCGACAUCCUUGCAAACUAGCGAAUAAUGACUGGAAAGUAGAUGACUAAUUUUUAUAUCUUCUCUCUUUUCCUGAUGACUAAUUUAUUGAAUUCGUUUGUUGCUGGGACUGAAGGAAAGUUAUAAUUACAUUUAAAAAAAUUAUUGCAAAAAAAUCUUGCAAACGGUAAUGUGCAAAUAAAGCUUGAAAUUGAUAACAUAACCAAUUAAAUGAGACUGAAUAUUGCCAUUUUACAAAGUGUGAAGCUAUUUGCAAUGAAACAUGGAUGAAGUUGGUUGACUCUUAGAUACAGAUGGGUCAGAGAUAUGAUCCUUGGUAAAUGCAAAUGGUGGAGAAGGUUUUAUGGAGGUGAUUUAGAAUUGCUUGGCUAUAACACUGUAUUGAAGUAAGUGAUCUUAAUGAUAAUGGACUUUCUUUUUUUGGGUUUUAUUCUGUGAUACUACUUUUGUUUAGAUGCCUUUUUAUUUUGCCUAGUCCCCCCGACCUAGAGGCCUAAGGUUCAUAAAGGAUACUUUCGUGUUUCAUAUUUGCAGUAUUGUAUCUUUCCUUUCCUACUUGAAAUGACGAAAACACCAUGCAAACGAGAGAAUUUAUUUCUGAAAUUUUAAAUUAGAUAUGAAAUUUGGGAUCUUCCUUUAAGGGAGGAUGUGUGAGACUCUAUCAUUGAAAGAUUUCAGGGACAGUUGAUGGAUUGGAACUUGCAAGAAAUAUUAUUUAUCCAAAGGAGGUGCGCUAACACUAAUCAAAAUUAAUAGCUUGCUGACUUAUUUUAUGCCUUUGUCUACUAUCCCAAUUUCAGUUGCGAAGAGGCUUAGAAUAUGUAGAGGGAUUUUUUUGUGGUCUCUUCCUUCUUAUUCAUCAUUAAUUUUUGUAGUGCUAUUGAAGAGGAACUAGUGGGCAAAGAGCAAAACUUAGGGCCUAGGGGUGUGCUCCCUCCAGGCCUCAAGUUCAAACUUGAAGUUUUGAUGGGUCUUAUUUGUGUUGGAGGCCUUUACUAGCUUCCUCCAGAAAUUGCACAUCAUCUUGAAAUGGUUCGCAUAAUGUUGCAGAAAUUACAAUGUAACAUUUUCAUGCUUUCCUACAAAGGUUAUGGGGCUAGUGAUGGCUACCCUUCUCAACAUGGUAUCACAAAGGAUGCUCAGAUUUGUUUUGCAGUUGACAUUUUUCAUUCAGUUAUGAUCUUCUUUAUACAUUUUGAUUCCAUCAAAUCUUAAUGGACAUGCUUCCCUUUCUUUUCAUUAGGCUGCAUUGGAUCAUCUAGCUCAAACCUUAAAAGGACUGACAUUCCAUAUUUUGCUAAAUAACUUUUCAAGUCGUAAACCUGGUCAGAUUGGUAAUCUGAGCCUUUACAUUUUGUGAUUUUGAAAAUUCAUUAUAAAGUGAGAGUAGAUAAAUUAUUGGAUAGAUAUAGUAUUGCACUAAGAAUGACCUAUAAUUGAGACAUUAAUGGACUGACAAAUAGGAUCCAUUAGCUAGUACAUUUUAUGGGUCUUUGAAAUCAUUAUUACAUUUUGGAAGUUUCCUGGAUAAUUUCAUGUUAGUGCUGCUCUUUUUGUGCAUUUAGCACGAGUAGCAGCUCCUUCUGUUGUUACUGUACUUGCGUUUGAUAGGUAGUCUGGGCUUGCCUAAUUAAGUAAAUUAUUGUAAUUGAUUUCAGAGUGUUAAAUCCCUGUAUUUUUUUUCUU